Molecule: ribosomal RNA, 460 nt
Filed under: uncultured bacterium
Lineage: Bacteria
Description: partial 16S ribosomal RNA
Rfam family: Bacterial small subunit ribosomal RNA
Source: RNAcentral
CCUACGGGUGGCAGCAGUGAGGAAUAUUGGUCAAUGGACGAGAGUCUGAACCAGCCAAGUAGCGUGAAGGAUGACGGCCCUAUGGGUUGUAAACUUCUUUUAUAAGGGAAUAAAGCGAGGCACGUGUGCCUUUUUGCAUGUACCUUAUGAAUAAGGAUCGGCUAACUCCGUGCCAGCAGCCGCGGUAAUACGGAGGAUCCGAGCGUUAUCCGGAUUUAUUGGGUUUAAAGGGAGCGUAGAUGGGUUGUUAAGUCAGUUGUGAAAGUUUGCGGCUCAACCGUAAAAUUGCAAUUGAUACUGGCAGUCUUGAGUACAGGUGAGGUAGGCGGAAUUCGUGGUGUAGCGGUGAAAUGCUUAGAUAUCACGAAGAACCCCGAUUGCGAAGGCAGCUUACUAAACUGCGACUGACAUUGAUGCUCGAAAGCGUGGGUAUCGAACAGGAUUAGAUACCCUAGUAGUC